Molecule: ribosomal RNA, 497 nt
Filed under: uncultured bacterium
Lineage: Bacteria
Description: partial 16S ribosomal RNA
Rfam family: Bacterial small subunit ribosomal RNA
Source: RNAcentral
GAUGAACGCUGGCGGCGUGCCUAAUACAUGCAAGUCGAGCGAACGGACGCGAAGCUUGCUUCUCUGAUGUUAGCGGCGGACGGGUGAGUAACACGUGGAUAACCUACCUAUAAGACUGGGAUAACUUCGGGAAACCGGAGCUAAUACCGGAUAAUAUUUUGAACCGCAUGGUUCAAAAGUGAAAGACGGUCUUGCUGUCACUUAUAGCUGGAUCCGCGCUGCAUUAGCUAGUUGGUAAGGUAACGGCUUACCAAGGCAACGAUGCAUAGCCGACCUGAGAGGGUGAUAGGCCACACGGGAGCGGAGACACGGACCAGAGGCCUACGGGAGGCAGCAGUAGGGAAUGUUCCGCAAUGGGCGAAAGCCUGACGGAGCAACGCCGCGUGAGUGAUGAAGGUCUUCGGAUCGUAAAACUCUGUUAUUAGGGAAGAACAUAUGUGUAAGUAACUGUGCACAUCUUGACGGUACCUAAUCAGAAAGCCACGGCUAACUACGUG